UAGAGAGGAACCGGUUAAACGACUGCGGGUCAGACCCCAAACUCUGUGUCCUAAGUGUAGGAAGGGAUAUCAUUGGGCCUCCUACUGCAGGUCGGGAAACGGGUCUGGGGGCCCCAUCAACAACAACGGGGUAUGACAGCUGCCGUGAGGACACCACCAAGUCUACAACAACAGUAUGUACAACAGGCACAAGCCAACGGGACUCCCGAUCCUCCAUUCAUGUGGUAACAGUCCCUACAGAUGCUGAGCAUGACGUCCAGGAGAUGAAGUGCCUCCAGUAUGGGUCCCCCAGAGGGCUACUAGAUUGUAUAUCCCAGCUACACAAGAUGCAUCUGGACCUGAAACCACCAAACAGACGCCCGUCCCGUAAGAAGCGACGACCCCGUAAGCGAAAAACCGGUUUACAACAGGGGUUCCUGCGUGUUCCUGAUGACCAUGCCGACUUUAGGGCCUCCAACCCAAGGAAAAGAUGAAGAAAAACAACAAUGGUGGGCCUACUGGAGCCGCCCACCAUGGCUUACACUGGUUACUUGGGAACAUCCCUCUGUUCCAGUGGUCGUGAUAGGACCAGAAACUUUAAGUGAAAUAUUCGGGAUGAUGCUGAUUAAUCAGUCCCAUCCUCAUCCUGUACAAUUCAAUUUUUCAGGAGUAGCUACCAGCCCACCAAUUUGUUUUUCAACCAAUGAGUCAACACCUGAUCCCUGCAUCAAGCUUGCGAAUGAGAAAAAGACAGUGCGGGUGAAUGGACAAACUGAGAGUUGCAUUACCUUACCCUUCAACAAAAGAAAGGGGGAGAUGUAGAGGACCACAGGUGAGUAGGACUCUGACCCUGAUGGCCGAAUAGGCCCUCUCAGAUGAGGAGCUUGCUCUUUGGGCUGGAUCGGUUCUCCACUCCCAGAAGAAAGACUGUUGUGCAAGCUCAACCAUUAACAAUGUUGCUAGCUCAAGCUCAAACAUGUAUAUUAUACAUAUCAAGUAAUGAGACAUUCUGGGAACAAGAAGUACUUGGUGGUCUAACGGGAACAGCACGGGGUGGAUUAAGGAAGUGACCUUGUGAAUGAUUGCUAUAAAACUGCCUGCUGGGCUCUAAUAAAGUUUCCAUCACGCUUGGAGUCCCGUCUCUU
RNAcentral lists this long non-coding RNA (1124 nucleotides) under Phascolarctos cinereus (koala). Its description in RNAcentral is "lncRNA (ENSPCIG00000015268.2)". Lineage: Eukaryota; Metazoa; Chordata; Mammalia; Diprotodontia; Phascolarctidae. The record is from RNAcentral.